This is a small nucleolar RNA of Ictidomys tridecemlineatus (thirteen-lined ground squirrel), 78 nucleotides long. The record is from Ensembl. Lineage: Eukaryota; Metazoa; Chordata; Mammalia; Rodentia; Sciuridae.
AACCGGUGAUGUAAUGAUUCUGCCAAAUGAAUGUAAUGAUAUCACUUUCAAAACCGUUCCAUUUUUGAUUCUGAGGUU